GACGAACGCUGGCGGCGUGCUUAACACAUGCAAGUCGAACGGAAAGGCCCUGCUUUUGUGGGGUGCUCGAGUGGCGAACGGGUGAGUAACACGUGAGUAACCUGCCCUUGACUUUGGGAUAACUUCAGGAAACUGGGGCUAAUACCGGAUAGGAGCUCCUGCUGCAUGGUGGGGGUUGGAAAGUUUCGGCGGUUGGGGAUGGACUCGCGGCUUAUCAGCUUGUUGGUGGGGUAGUGGCUUACCAAGGCUUUGACGGGUAGCCGGCCUGAGAGGGUGACCGGCCACAUUGGGACUGGGAUACGGCCCAGACUCCUACGGGAGGAAGCAGUGGGGAAUAUUGCACAAUGGGCGGAAGCCUGAUGCAGCAACGCCGCGUGCGGGAUGACGGCCUUCGGGUUGUAACCCGCUUUCGCCUGUGACGAAGCGUGAGUGACGGUAAUGGGUAAAGAAGCACCGGCUAACUACGUG
RNAcentral lists this ribosomal RNA (468 nucleotides) under uncultured bacterium. RNAcentral's name for it is "partial 16S ribosomal RNA". It matches the Rfam family "Bacterial small subunit ribosomal RNA", at positions 28 to 507 of the family's 1533-position model. The record is from RNAcentral.